This 7626-nucleotide long non-coding RNA is filed under the name Octopus vulgaris (common octopus). The record is from RNAcentral. Lineage: Eukaryota; Metazoa; Mollusca; Cephalopoda; Octopoda; Octopodidae.
UAUAUAUUAAUGUUCACUUCUAAAUACAGGUGCUUGUAAAUGUAAAUAUGCAGAUAUAUCUUUAUGUAUACACACACACACACACAUAUAUACAUAAAUAAAUAUAUAUAUAAUUAUGUAGACAUACACAUACAUAAAUGCAGUACACCUGUGCACACAUAUGUAUGUAUGCAUUUCUCAUAUACAUACACCAUAGAUAUAUAUAUAAACCUAUUCUAGAUCAACCUGUUGAAUUUUUGGCCAGUGAAAGAGUGUGGGAAGGUGCAAUUUUGGUUUUGGUUUCCCUGUUACCUGUAUCUAUUGAGAAAGGUUUUUUAAAAUGUCACUCAACAGGGCUCUUUAAUCAAAAUCUUAUAUACAACAUAAAAAUUCAAAAAAAAAAAACAAAAACAAUAAUAAUGUUUCUAAACUCACAAAUCUUAAAUAUUAACUGAUUUGAAGAGUACCGUAGAAGAGAGUAGGUAAAAAUGCACAACGAAACAUGAAUUUUGUCGUAUAUAACUAAGUUAUAGAGUAAGUAGAUGGGAGAUAUAAGAAUAAUAAUAAAAAAAAAUAAUGUUAUAAAUGAACCUAUGUCUUUGUGUGUUUGCAUAUGUUGUGUAUGUAUGGUAUGAUGGAUUUAGAAAAUAAAUAUCAUUUAGCAAAGGAAAGCAAAUAUGUGAAUGUGUGUUUGUUUCUGAAAGAAGUAUAGAAAGAAAAAAAAAAAGUAGAAGGCAAGAAAUGGUGAGUGUAAAAGUUUAUGGGUGACUGAUUGAGAGCAAGAAUGAAGGGCAGAAAAGCAAAAGGGAACAUGAGAAUGCAUUGUAUUCUUCUAUCAAACCAUAUUUUAUAUCUGUAGAACUUAAACUGUUGCCCAUUAAUGUUGUCUUUGCUAUUUUCCCUGGUUUCUAACACACAUAUACACACAUAUAUAAAAUAACAGAAAACUACUUUGCAAACAGAUGAGCUGUUGUCUUGAUUAUUUUUACCUUUUGUACAUCAUAAACAAAUGUCAUUUACUUUUGUAUACACAUAUGCACUCAGUCACACAUACACAAUCAAUACAAAAUGUAGGCGUCUCUAAUUUUCAUUCUUUUAUUUUAUAUAGAUAUAUGUGUGUAUAUAUAUAUAUAUAUAUAUAUAUUACUUUUUAGUCUGAGAUUUUUACAGGUGGUACAAUACAAGUAAAUUAAUAGUAAUAGUAAUAAUUUAUGAUGGUGUGGAUGGUGAUAAGCUAAGCACCAUGUUGUACCAAUGAUACAUUGAUAUUAGCACACAGUUAUCCAUAAUAUGAAUACAGUGAUAAACUUUGAACAAAAUGCAAUAAUAAUAAUAAUAUUUAUAACAACUAUACAUCAAAAAUGAAUAAUUCAAAGUAAAAAAAAUGUUAAAAAUAAAACUGACUGAAUUCCUCUUAAGUUUUUAUUUGGCGUCACCUAAAGUUUUUUGCUGUGUUUCUAGGAACUUUGUAAUCUCCGUAAUAAUUUUACCAUCUUUCCUUUUUCUAAUGCUCUCAUCUCCUCUUCCCUUCCCACCAUAUUUCCUGUUAUGUUUAUUUCCUUCUUCUCAAUAAGGAUGUCCUUGUUUCAGCCCCUCCUCCUCCUCCAACACAUUUCAGUUCUUGAUUUGUGCUCUGUUUCUGUUUCUUUAACUUUUAGUUUCCUCCUCAUAGAGUUUGCUGUAUUUGAAAUUUCCUCUCUCUCCUUAUUGCUAUUGUGUAGCACCACCCACCCACUCCUGCUCCUAUCCUAAUUGAUCAGACUUAUGAUCAAGGACAUUCCAGUUGUGACCAUCCCAUCUUUUUCUUUGAACAGAGAAACUCAGUACCACUUCAUCUAAUAUAUCUGUUCUCUAAGUGAUUUGGUAAUUUAAAAAUUUUGUUGAUUUUAACCAUCACUAGACCAUGUAGGGAUCCCCCCCCCCCCCAAAUCCUUUAAACUAGCAAAACUUUGAGUAAAAUAAUUCCAGCCAUGAGCAUCCCUGCAAAAUUUUUUCAGGCUAUUUUGUUAUAAUAAUGAAAUUAUUGUAUACAGUGCUCAGGUGCACCACAACUUGUCAGCACUUUCACAUACUUUACUACUUCAUCUUUUAGUCAAGAGGAAAGGUAGCAUUCAUGGCUCUUUACAGAGCCUCUGAGACAAGUGAGAAGAAGGUAUGGAAGUUUCUUUAAACUAGAGACCUAGUUUGAACACUUCUAACAGAGUGGCCUCUAUUGAAAGCAUCCAAAGACCAGGUGGUAAUGGAAUUAAACCCGGCCAUAAAUUCAGUCUAAAACCCAAGUAGAGUACUGCAGGAUUUGAACAGAGCUAGAACAAGUAACACAAAUCAACUUACCAUUCCAUCAGUCCACUGCCUUGGAUCAGUACUUUCUUUGUUGACUCUGAAAGAAUGAAAAAAAAGCAAAGAUGAUCUUGGUGAGAUUUGAACUUUGAGUGCAAAGUUAGAAGGAAUUCUGUAAGGCAUUUUAUUUGAUGCACUAACAACUGUACUAAUACCCAGCCUUUGUUGACCACAUAUAGCCUUUAUUUUAUUUUUACAUUUAUAGGACAAAAAUAUAUUAAGUUUAUUAUAGAUAAGCCAUCUCUGGGGUUAACAUUGACUGAUGUAAAAUGUGACCCUCAUGUCGAGAAUACAGUAACUUUUUUAGACUCAGCUCUGGGAAAUAUAUUAAUUGAAAGAUAUCUUUUUCUGUUGAAUAGGAUCCCAGCCUAUCACAAGUUCAUGUUUUGUUGUUUAUUUUUUUUCUUAGAGGGGGAUUUGAACUCAGUAUUGCUUGCUAAAGAAAUGUCAUUUCAUAAUAUUAUUAUACAGCACUCCUGUAUCUAGCCAUGUUGCUUUCUAACCUUAAAUAAAACUUUCAAAUGCUUUCUAAUCAUUUUCUUUUAAGUUUAAGGUAGUAAAAGAAAAGGGUAUCAUAUAAAGGAGAUUUGACUGUUAUUUCUAGCUAGUUGAAAAACAAUGUUGAGGUACAUAUUAUUAUUAUGGCAUUAUUUCAUCAGACGUUGACAGGUUUGAACGUUUCGUGUCUUUGCCUUACACACCAUGCAAUGUCGGUCACAGGAUAUGAACCUUGCACCAUACUGACUCCUCAGCAGCAAUUCUAUAUCUUUAAUUUACUUUACCUAAUCCAAAAAAUCUUUCAGCUUCAUUUCAUAUUUUUAAUCUUUUCUACUCAAUGUCUUUGUUGUUGUGUUUGUUCACUUUUCCACAUCAGUUUUGCUGUCUAAUUGCUAAUUAUUUAUAUUAAGUUUUAAAUUAAAAAGAACAAAAGAACAAGUGUUUCAACACUACUGUCCAACUUUCAAACUUCAAACAAUUUAUAGCAUUCUAUACGUUUUUUUCAUUCAUCAAUUUAUUCUAGUUUAAUAUUUCUUAUAUUGGAAACUGAUGCUGGAUUUCUUAGUGUUUUUUCUGGGAGUAGAUAGGGAUCAAUUGAUCCCACCCUCUCAUCUUCCCAUCAUUCUUUACAAACUGACUAUAAAUUAUCUAACUUUUUUUUACCCAAUUAUUACUUGAAAAUAUUUCUAAAUAUUUUCCUGAUCAAAUGCAUAUUUAAUUAAUUUUAACAUCUGUUUGUGAAUAUUUUGAUUAUUUUGCUUUCUCUUGUUGUUAUUCAAUAAUAUCGGUGUUGUUUAUGUGAUAUGUUUUUAAGUCUGCAAAAUGAAAUGGUGGAGCUGUUCCUCAUUGCUCUGUACUUAAUUACAUCUGUUGUAUAAUAUUAUUUAUAUAAUUGGUCUUUAAUUAAUUGCUGCUGGAUAGCAUCAACACGUACACAAACACCUACCCUCAAAUACAAACAUUAUUUGAUCUAAUAUAUAAACAUGCAGUAAUAUUUAUAAUGAUAGACAUGUGUAUUGUUUUUGAAUGUGUAUGUGUGUGUCUCUCUCUGUAUUCAUGUAUAAAUACAUGAAUACACACUACAUGGUUUCUUAUCACCAGAACCUCCAAACAGAACUUUGCAUGGCAGAACAUGACCGCUUCUAGGUACAUCUGGAGGUUUCAGCAGAGUUGGUGAAUCCUAUCAAAAUUCAAGGGAGCUAGGUUCUUCUUAUUUUUCAAGAAGUGGGGCCCUUCAGAUUACAAGUCUUCCCUUGGCUCUCCAGGCUCCCUGCUGAUUUACCAGCUGACCUCCUACUCCACCUUUUACAGUCCCUGCUUAUUGAGGUCUGGCCAUUCACAGAAUGUGAUUCCUUUCAUGCUCUAUUGGGAAGAACAGAGCCGAUUAAAUUGUACACAACUUCUGUUUAUUUAUUUUAUUGGACCUCAGAAGGGUGAAAGUCCUUGUUGGGAUUUGAACAUAAUCCUUAAUUGAUUACUAGAUAGCAUUUCAAAAUGCUUUCUUUUAAGUGUGAUGAUCUUGUAGAUCAAAGAGAAAAUGUUACAAUAGAUUUUUCAAUAAUAGUGAAAUUACUUUUACAAUAGUUUUAAUUUCUGUUGUGAAGCUUCAUGCUAAAUAGUGGUGAUAAUUUUUUAAUGAAUUUUACAUUUCUAUUCUGUGCUCCCAUAUAUAAAGAAACCCCUACUUUAUCCUUUUUUUUUUUUUGUCUUUUUGGCACUUUAGUCUUUAGUUUUGUUAUAAAUUCAUAAUGUAUUGUGUGAAGUACCGUCAAUAGCCUGCACAUUAUGUUCAGUCUAAACAGUAUGUAUUGAACUGGUAAUACCUUCGUCAAACGACCUGGUGUGUGUUUCAUGGUUGGAGUACUUUGCCUUCGUAAAGGAUGAAUCCAACAUAAUAUUGUUUACUUGCAUAAAGCCAUACACACCCUCAGUGUAGUACCUUUGGUUUUCUACUAGUUCUUGAUAAUUUUUCCUUGGAAAUCAUCAUUAUUUCUUGAGAUAAAAAUGUACUUUAUCCCAAAAGAAAUUAUAUAUACUCAGUGACAAUUCCAAUACUGUUUUGAAGAGAAUUUGCUUAAGGUUACUCCUGCAACUAUGCUUUUUUUUUUUUUUUUUUUUGACAGGGUGGGGAUUAGCUUUAUUUAGUAAGUGGAAAGAUGUUUGUGAAAUUUAACCUCUUAUUGUCAAAAUAAAAUUUAAAUAAUUUUUAAUGCAUGUUACUAAUUGCUAACAGAAAUGAGAGCUGAAAAAUAUAUUUUGAUUUUUAGUGCACUUUGAGCAUUUCUGCCUAAGAGUGGAUAUUAAGAGUGCCUACAGAUAGAAGCUGUGAUAUCUUUUUGACUACACACAGGCCAAUUUUUAAAGAAAUGGAUUAUAGUAAAUGUAAUUAUCGUAGUACAUUACUGUUGCUUCUUUCAAGGGUCCAUUGAAUAAGUUAAGGGUCAAGUUUGCCUUUGACAAAUUAGAUGCAAUAUUAAUUACUACAGUUAAAAUAUUCCAUUUGGUUACAACUGUUUGCACUACUCUUAUCCUUCAUUUUAAUUUUGAUAUUAUGUGGGUUCAAAUCGUAUCUAUUAGUCUUCGAUUUGUUUUACAACAUGUUUUUUUUACAUGAUUUAAAAAAAAAAAAUUUACAUGGGUUCUUUAAUGAAUAGAGGUUGUUUUAUGUGUAUUUCAGUACUAGAACAUUGACUGCAACUUAAUGUGCCACUUUUGUGAAUGAAAUAAAAGGAGAGCAGGCGAGAAAGAGAAAUAGGGGGUUUGUGUGUACGGAGCGCUAAGCAAAAGAGUAAGAUGCAACAUAAAACUGCUGAAAUGAUGCUCAAUACAACAGAAUACUGUGUCUAUAGUCUACUUUAAUACAAUAGCAUCCAUCAAGGAGUAACAUUUGAAGGAUAUUACAAAAUGUAGGUCACAAGUGAGAACAUCAAAUGUUGGAUAAAUGUGUGACAAAAAAAAAAUGUUCAUAUCAUACCCCAGUUCUUCUAACAUAGAAAUAACAAAAUUUCCGGAUCUUUUCGGUUUGAACGGCAGUUUUUUCUAGCGAUGCCAUAUGAAAUUGUCACCCAUAAUUAUGACCCAAGUAUCGAUCUAUUGCAUUUCAAUCUGUUUUAGGGGUGGGGGGAAGGGUAUCUUUUUUUCUUCACAAAUGUAAAUAAACCCAAUCUGUUUCUUAAACAAGGGACAUAUUCAUACGGCACAGAAUGUUUUUUUUUACCUCAAUAGACGUCAUUGAUUGGUUGAAAUGGCAGAAAUUGAAGAAAGAAAAACAACAAAUAUCUUACAAACUAUAAAAUUUUCUCAAUAAAGCCAAGAGAAAAAGAUGCUGUAUAAACACAUUCUACCAGUAUACGAAGUUUAAAAGUGUUUAGUUUUUCGUGGAAAUUAUUUUAAAAAACUGCCGUUCAAACCGAAAAGAUCCGAAUUUCCAGUUCUGAAGAACUGUAUUGCAAUACAGUGGUUUUGUAAAAUGACAUGAAGUGUCUUUGGUGGUUUAAUAAAUGAAAUACAAUGUGUUCAUUGAUUGUUAAAUGAAGAAUGGUUUCUGUAAAAUGAGUACAAUGUAAUGAGUGAUUGUCAUACAAUGAAAAAAAAAAAAUGUACGUCUGGUAUUCUAAUGGGUUUUUCUUUUUUUUAAUGAAAGCUAUUUUAUUUAAUAUUUUUUCUCUUUCUGCUGUAAACUGUUCUCAACUUCUAUAAAUUCUCCUGAUAUUAUACACGGACAUGCUAUCCAAAUUCUGCGCAAUACUUUACCAUGCCAGUUUCUUAUUCACAUUUUUCUACUUGAUGGCAAGAUGGAUCUACCUUGAGAGUCUGUCCUACUUUCUUCCCAGAUGUUGGGGUUUAUUAUAUUGCAUCCUCAUUGUAUGGACUAUGAAUCUACACAAUAUAUAUACAUAUAUAUAUGUAUGUAUGUAUGUAUAUAUAUAUAAACUUUAAGAUGAAACUUCAGCUAACAUAAAUCUAUAAAUGAAGAUUUAUUAUGUAAUACCAAACAGUAUAAUCUUUAGAAUAUAAAUGAUGUAAAAAUAUGAAAUAUAUUCUUCCAUCCAGAAACAUUAAUUUUCUCACUCAUUUUUUUUUUUUUAAACCAAAAAAAAAAAAAAACUUUGAGUGAAUGUCUGAACAUUGAGAUCCUUAAAGUUGUCUCCCCCAACCCCUACCUUCCACCUUUUCUCACUUUUGAACCUGAAAAAGUCACCACAAAAGAAUAACAGCGUACUCAUGUAUCAAUAUAUUUUCAGAAACGAUCUUUAUAACAAUCUCACUGCACCCAUUCACUCAAUUUCAGAAUAUGGCAAUAUGAAAUGUAUCUUAAAAGUGCCAUCUUUAUAUCAAAGUGAAAAAAAAAAAAGAAAAAAAGAGAAAAUUGAUCUUGAUUUCUUAAAAUAAUCUCUAUUUUCAAAAUUGAAAAAAAAAAAAACAGACAAAACGUAACUCUCCUAAUAUCUACAACUUUUUUAACCUAUCAUGUGAACAGCUAGUUGUGUAUGAUUCUUAUGAUUCAAUUAAAGUUUGGAUUGUCUCUAACUUGGUCAGUAAAUUCAAAAUUUACUCUUGCCACAUCAACACCUCUUCUUUAUAUUCGAGUGAGCACUGCAGAGUAAAGAACUGCAGGUGGCUUUGCAUGACUGCUUUUCAGUCCCUUGUUAUAGUCAUUUAAUUUCACUCAACUUUACCAAUGUGCUGUGUGGCAAAAGACAAGUAUGCCACAUGACCAAACAUCCUUCUCCAUGUACUAUAAAAAAAUAUAUCAAACAAACCUGAAACUUCAGUUUGAAAUAAAUGAAUUCCAGAUAAGAUUCUUAA